UCAAGUGAAUAAGUGCAUACGACGGAUGCCUUGGCAUUAGAAGGCGAUGAAGGACGUGAUAAUCUGCGAUAAGCUUCGGUUAGCUGAUAAAUUAGCUUUAACCCGGAGAUCUCCGAAUGGGAAAACCCAGUGGUCAUCAGACCAUUAUCCUUAACUGAAUACAUAGGUUAAGGAGGCAAACCUAGGGAACUGAAACAUCUAAGUACCUAGAGGAAAAGAAAUCAACCGAGAUUCCCUUAGUAGCGGCGAGCGAACGGGGAACAGCCCUUAAGCAUAUUUUAAAUUACUAGAAUGUUCUGGAAAGUUCAACGAUACAGGGUGAUAGUCCCGUAUAGGAAAAUUUAAUUUAUGUGAAAUCGAGUAAGGCGGCGCACGUGAAACGCUGUUUGAAUAUGGGGGGACCACCCUCCAAGGCUAAAUACUCUCUAAUGACCGAUAGUGAACAAGUACCGUGAGGGAAAGGCGAAAAGAACCCCGGGAGGGGAGUGAAAUAGAACCUGAAAUCGUAUGCAUACAAGCAGUAGGAGCCCCAUCAAUUAAGCCUCUUUGAUUUAAUUGAUGUUUUGAGUUUAAUCUGAUUAGAUAUUGUUGCUUUAGCAACAAUUAAUACCACUAAUCAAGCAGAGGAAGCUUAAUGAUGGGGUGACUGCGUACCUUUUGUAUAAUGGGUCAGCGACUUACUUCUCAGUAGCAAGGUUAACCAUUAGGGGAGCCGUAGGGAAACCGAGUCUUAAAUGGGCGAUUAGUUGCUGGGAGUAGACCCGAAACCGGGUGAUCUAUCCAUGGCCAGGGUGAAGGUUAGGUAAAACUAACUGGAGGCCCGAACCCACUUAUGUUGAAAAAUGAGGGGAUGAGCUGUGGAUAGGGGUGAAAGGCCAAACAAACCCGGAGAUAGCUGGUUCUCUCCGAAAUCUAUUUAGGUAGAGCGUCAUGUAUUACUUCAGGGGGUAGAGCACUGUUAUGGCUAGCGGGUUGUCAAGACUUAGCAAACCAUUGCAAACUCCGAAUACCUGAAAGUAUGAGCAUGGCAGACACACUGCGGGUGCUAACGUCCGUAGUGGAAAGGGAAACAACCCAGACCGUCAGCUAAGGUCCCAAAAUUGUAGUUAAGUGGGAAACGAUGUGAAAAGGCCCAGACAGCCAGGAGGUUGGCUUAGAAGCAGCCAUUCCUUUAAAGAGUGCGUAAUAGCUCACUGGUCGAGUCGGUUUGCGCGGAAGAUUUAACGGGGCUAAAACUACAUACCGAAGCUACGGAUCAUAAUUUAUUAUGAUGGUAGGAGAGCGUUCUGUAAGCCGUUGAAGGUGUCCUGUGAGGGAUGCUGGAGGUAUCAGAAGUGCGAAUGCUGACAUGAGUAACGAUAAAGGGGGUGAAAAACCCCCUCGCCAGAAGUCCAAGGUUUCCUACGCAACGUUAAUCGGCGUAGGGUUAGUCGGCCCCUAAGGCGAGGCAGAAAUGCGUAGUCGAUGGGAAACAGGUUAAUAUUCCUGUACUUCAUAUAACUGCGAUGGGAAGACGGAGAAGGUUAGCUCAGCAAGGCGAUGGUUGUCCUUGUUCAAGCGUGUAGAAAUGGUUCUUAGGAAAAUCCGGGAACCUCUAUUUCAAGGCGUGAUAACGAGUCCUCUUUUGGACGAAGUGAGUGAUACCAUGCUUCCAGGAAAAUCCUCUAAGCUAUAGGUUAUAUGAAACCGUACCCCAAACCGACACAGGUGGACGAGAUGAGAAUUCUAAGGCGCUUGAGAGAACUCGGGUGAAGGAACUAGGCAAAAUGACACCGUAACUUCGGGAGAAGGUGUGCUCUUUGUAGGUGAUAUCACUAGCUGAUAAAGCUGAAAAGAGUUGAAGAAACCAGGUGGCUCCGACUGUUUAUUAAAAACACAGCACUCUGCAAACACGUAAGUGGACGUAUAGGGUGUGACGCCUGCCCGGUGCUUGAAGGUUAAUUGAUGAGGUUAGGAUUUAUCCGAAGCUUUUGAUCGAAGCCCAAGUAAACGGCGGCCGUAACUAUAACGGUCCUAAGGUAGCGAAAUUCCUUGUCGGGUAAGUUCCGACCUGCACGAAUGGCGUAACGAGGGCCACACUGUCUCCACCCGAGACUCAGUGAAAUUGAAAUUGCUGUUAAGAUGCAGUAUACCCGCGGCCAGACGGAAAGACCCCGUGCACCUUUACUACAGCUUUGCAUUGAACUCUGAUCCUACCUGUGUAGGAUAGGUGGGAGACUUUGAAACUUUAACGCUAGUUAGAGUGGAGUCAUCCUUGAAAUACCACCCUGGUAUGGUUGGGGUUCUAACCUUGGUCCGUUAUCCGGAUUGGGAACAAUGCAUGGUGGGUAGUUUGACUGGGGCGGUCUCCUCCUAAAGAGUAACGGAGGAGCGCAAAGGUACCCUCAGCACGGUCGGACAUCGUGCAAUGAGCGCAAAGGUAAAAGGGUGCUUGACUGCGAGACUGACACGUCGAGCAGGUAGGAAACUAGGUCUUAGUGAUCCGGUGGUUCUGAGUGGAAGGACCAUCGCUCAACGGAUAAAAGGUACGCCGGGGAUAACAGGCUGAUACCGCCCAAGAGUUCACAUCGACGGCGGUGUUUGGCACCUCGAUGUCGGCUCAUCACAUCCUGGGGCUGAAGCAGGUCCCAAGGGUAUGGCUGUUCGCCAUUUAAAGUGGUACGCGAGCUGGGUUUAGAACGUCGUGAGACAGUUCGGUCCCUAUCUACCGUGGGCGUUGGAGACUUGAGGGAAGCUGUUCUUAGUACGAGAGGACCGGAAUGGACACACCUCUGGUGUUUCGGUUGUGACGCCAGUCGCAUUGCCGAGUAGCUAUGUGUGGAAAGGAUAACCGCUGAAAGCAUCUAAGCGGGAAGCCCCUCCCAAGAUUAGGUCUCCCUGGAUAUUUAAUAUCCCUGAAGAUCCCUCGAAGACUACGAGGUUGAUAGGCACGGUGUGGAAGAGUAGUGAUACUUGAAGCUAACGUGUACUAAUUGAUCGUGAGGCUUGACCAU
This 2993-nucleotide ribosomal RNA is filed under the name uncultured Candidatus Thioglobus sp. Its description in RNAcentral is "bacterial LSU rRNA". It matches the Rfam family "Bacterial large subunit ribosomal RNA". Lineage: Bacteria; Pseudomonadati; Pseudomonadota; Gammaproteobacteria; Pseudothioglobaceae (SeqCode). The record is from RNAcentral.